This 169-nucleotide non-coding RNA is filed under the name Clostridium saudiense. RNAcentral's name for it is "Lysine riboswitch". It matches the Rfam family "Lysine riboswitch aptamer". From Rfam's summary of the family: Riboswitches are metabolite binding domains within certain messenger RNAs that serve as precision sensors for their corresponding targets. Allosteric rearrangement of mRNA structure is mediated by ligand binding, and this results in modulation of gene expression. The record is from RNAcentral. Lineage: Bacteria; Bacillati; Bacillota; Clostridia; Eubacteriales; Clostridiaceae.
UAGGGUAGAGGCGCGAAAGUUAAUAGUAUUAUUGAUGAGGAAAGCACUGUGAUUCAAUAAGAAAGGAGCAAUCGCCGAAGUGUACAACUAAUGCUUUAAGGUUGUAUAGCUGGGAAUACAUAGAAUAUAUGUAUUACUGUCACAAAGUAUUUUGUGGUGAGCUAUCAUU